AAUUUUCAGAAUAAAUUCAAGCAUAUUUCGACUUGUUUCUAAUAGCAUGUGAUCGGAUUCAUGUCUUGGGAUGUCAUUAAAUGCAUAGUUGUGUUUUAGUUAAAACUUUAAUCUGCAGGUCAGUGUUGCUAGCCGAGACUAUAUUCACCUAAUAGUGAUUUUAAUUCACCUAAUAGUCUUAGUCAGAAACCCAACUAGUAAAGGUUAUGUAAUAAUAGCCGAGACUAUAUGUUACAUGUUAACAAUGUUCGUAAACUUGUAAUGCAUGUUCAAAUUCAAUAUUCUAUAGCUUUUAAUGAUUCAUGUUUAGGUAGACAGGUAUGUUAAGUAUACGCUGAGUAUCGAUCACAGCUUUUGCAUGAAAUACCCUAGGUUCUAGAUGUUCUGUGCCAGGGGAUAAGU
Molecule: long non-coding RNA, 402 nt
Filed under: Fragaria vesca (wild strawberry)
Lineage: Eukaryota; Viridiplantae; Streptophyta; Magnoliopsida; Rosales; Rosaceae
Description: long non-coding RNA (FVES_LNC003033)
Source: RNAcentral